CAAUAGCGUAUAUUAAAGUUGUUGCAGUUAAAAAGCUCGUAGUUGAAUUUUUGCUUGCCGCCGAUGUCGGAACUUCCGUACGUUCGGCGGCGUGCAUCCUUGGGUGGAAACUGUGUGGCAUUAGGUUGUCGUGCAGGGGAUGCUCAUCGUUUACUGUGAAAAAAUUAGAGUGUUCAAAGCAGGCUUACGCCGUUGAAUAUAUUAGCAUGGAAUAAUAAGAUAGGACCUUGGUACUAUUUUGUUGGUUUGCGCACCGAGGUAAUGAUUAACAGGGACAGUUGGGGGUAUUCGUAUUCCAUUGUCAGAGGUGAAAUUCUUGGAUUUCUGGAAGACGAACUACUGCGAAAGCAUUUACCAAGGAUGUUUUCAUUA
This 372-nucleotide ribosomal RNA is filed under the name uncultured eukaryote. RNAcentral's name for it is "partial 18S ribosomal RNA". It matches the Rfam family "Eukaryotic small subunit ribosomal RNA", at positions 592 to 975 of the family's 1831-position model. The record is from RNAcentral.